GACGAACGCUGGCGGCGUGCUUAACACAUGCAAGUCGAACGGAAAGGCCUCUUUCGGGGGGUACUCGAGUGGCGAACGGGCGAGUAAGACGUGAGUAACCUGCCCUUGACUUUGGGAUAACUUCCGUAAAGUGGGGCAAAUAAAUGAUAGAAGACCCUGUUACAUGGAGGGGGUUGGAAUGAAUGGGCUGUUGGGGCUGGACAGGGGGCUUAACGGCUUGUUUGGGGGGUAUGGGCUUACCAAGGCUUUGCCGGGUAGCCGGCCUGGGGGGGGGACCGGCCACCUUGGGACUGAGAGAGGGCCCAGACGCCUACGGGAGGCAGCAGUGGGGAAUAUUGCCGAAUGGGGGGAAGCCUGAUGCAGCAACUCCGUGUUCGGGAGGACGGGCUUCGGGUGGUAAACCGCUUUCGCUCAUGACGAAGCAUUGUGUGACGGUAGUGGGUAAAGAAGCACCGGCUAACUACGUG
This 467-nucleotide ribosomal RNA is filed under the name uncultured bacterium. Its description in RNAcentral is "partial 16S ribosomal RNA". It matches the Rfam family "Bacterial small subunit ribosomal RNA", at positions 28 to 507 of the family's 1533-position model. The record is from RNAcentral.